GGUCAACUAAAGUUGAUCGACACAGUAGAGAAUUUUUAAGCGAUCUAAAUGAUGACCAACUAGAAGAACAACUGAUUAGAUCGAGCCAAAGGCUUGAAGAACUCAACAAAGAGGUUUGUCUUUCAUUUUGAUUUGAAGAAGAAUCUUAUGCUUGUACAUUGUUUGCUUACAAUUUCAAGAGGUUCCAAUUAUUUUCAGAAGUUUACUGAUGAC
Molecule: long non-coding RNA, 213 nt
Organism: Humulus lupulus (European hop)
Lineage: Eukaryota; Viridiplantae; Streptophyta; Magnoliopsida; Rosales; Cannabaceae
Exons: 2
Source: RefSeq, a predicted model, not a curated record